This 780-nucleotide ribosomal RNA is filed under the name Vibrio sp. BL62. Its description in RNAcentral is "bacterial SSU rRNA". It matches the Rfam family "Bacterial small subunit ribosomal RNA", at positions 100 to 876 of the family's 1533-position model. Lineage: Bacteria; Pseudomonadati; Pseudomonadota; Gammaproteobacteria; Vibrionales; Vibrionaceae. The record is from RNAcentral.
GACGGGUGAGUAAUGCCUAGGAGAUUGCCCUGAUGUGGGGGAUAACCAUUGGAAACGAUGGCUAAUACCGCAUGAUGCCUACGGGCCAAAGAGGGGGACCUUCGGGCCUCUCGCGUCAGGAUAUGCCUAGGUGGGAUUAGCUAGUUGGUGAGGUAAUGGCUCACCAAGGCGACGAUCCCUAGCUGGUCUGACAGGAUGAUCAGCCACACUGGAACUGAGACACGGUCCAGACUCCUACGGGAGGCAGCAGUGGGGAAUAUUGCACAAUGGGCGCAAGCCUGAUGCAGCCAUGCCGCGUGUGUGAAGAAGGCCUUCGGGUUGUAAAGCACUUUCAGUCGUGAGGAAGGUGGUAGUGUUAAUAGCACUAUCAUUUGACGUUAGCGACAGAAGAAGCACCGGCUAACUCCGUGCCAGCAGCCGCGGUAAUACGGAGGGUGCGAGCGUUAAUCGGAAUUACUGGGCGUAAAGCGCAUGCAGGUGGUUUGUUAAGUCAGAUGUGAAAGCCCGGGGCUCAACCUCGGAAUAGCAUUUGAAACUGGCAGACUAGAGUACUGUAGAGGGGGGUAGAAUUUCAGGUGUAGCGGUGAAAUGCGUAUAGAUCUGAAGGAAUACCGGUGGCGAAGGCGGCCCCCUGGACAGAUACUGACACUCAGAUGCGAAAGCGUGGGGGAGCAAACAGGAUUAGAUACCCUGGUAGUCCACGCCGUACACGAUGUCUACUUGGAGGUUGUGGCCUUGAGCCGUGGCUUUCGGAGCUAACGCGUUAAGUAGACCGCCUGG